This 467-nucleotide ribosomal RNA is filed under the name uncultured bacterium. RNAcentral describes it as "partial 16S ribosomal RNA". It matches the Rfam family "Bacterial small subunit ribosomal RNA", at positions 28 to 507 of the family's 1533-position model. The record is from RNAcentral.
GACGAACGCUGGCGGCGUGCUUAACACAUGCAAGUCGAACGGAAAGGCCCUGCUUUUGUGGGGUGCUCGAGUGGCGAACGGGUGAGUAACACGUGAGUAACCUGCCCUUGACUUUGGGAUAACUUCAGGAAACUGGGGCUAAUACCGGAUAGGAGCUCCUGCUGCAUGGUGGGGGUUGGAAAGUUUCGGCGGUUGGGGAUGGACUCGCGGCUUAUCAGCUUGUUGGUGGGGUAGUGGCUUACCAAGGCUUUGACGGGUAGCCGGCCUGAGAGGGUGACCGGCCACAUGGGGACUGGGAUACGACCCAGACUCCACGGGAGGCAGCAGUGGGGAAUAUUGCACAAUGGGCGGAAGCCUGAUGCAGCAACGCCGCGUGCGGGAUGACGGCCUUCGGGUUGUAAACCGCUUUCGCCUGUGACGAAGCGUGAGUGACGGUAAUGGGUAAAGAAGCACCGGCUAACUACGUG